Molecule: ribosomal RNA, 473 nt
Filed under: Paracaesio xanthurus (yellowtail blue snapper)
Lineage: Eukaryota; Metazoa; Chordata; Actinopteri; Lutjaniformes; Lutjanidae
Description: partial small subunit ribosomal RNA
Rfam family: Bacterial small subunit ribosomal RNA
Source: RNAcentral
CACUAUGCCUAGCCGUAAACAUUGGCAGUACACUACACCUACUACCCGCCUGGGUACUACGAGCAUCAGCUUGAAACCCAAAGGACUUGGCGGUGCUUUAGACCCCCCUAGAGGAGCCUGUUCUAGAACCGAUAAUCCCCGUUCAACCUCACCUUUCCUUGCUUUCCCGCCUAUAUACCACCGUCGUCAGCUUACCCUAUGAAGGAUCCAUAGUAAGCAAAAUUGGCACAGCCCAAAACGUCAGGCCGAGGUGUAGUUUAUGGAAAGGGAAGAAAUGGGCUACAUUCCCUAACACAGGGAAUACGAACGACACAUUGAAAUAUGUAUCCGAAGGAGGAUUUAGCAGUAAGCAGAAAAUAGAGCGUUCUGCUGAAACCGGCCCUGAAGCGCGCACACACCGCCCGUCACUCUCCCCGAGCUUACAAGACUAAGUAACUAAAACCCUAUAACUGCAAAGGGGAGGCAAGUCGUAA